UGAAACUCUGCCGGUUUUUGCCUUUUACUUUUCUCAUCACGAUUGUUAAAGACUUUGAUGGCUAAAUUAAGAAGGUCUCUUUGUGGGGUUUGAGGGCCGUCAUCAAGCUUCUGAAGCUUGCGCCGAAUAUCGGGGUGGAUUGGGAGAUGAACCGAAGGUUUAAGCUAGUGUUUCCUGCUGAGGGUUUGAAGGGAGAAGGGGGGUUGUGUUAACAGGCAGUGGAGGAUAGAUAGGGGCGUAAGGUGGCGGGAUGGGUUUACAAGCCUCAGGAGAGGGCAGUUGUGGACGAGAAUACGUGCAAGCAAUACUAGAAUUGUCCUGAGGGGGGAUGGUGUAGGAAAAGAAGUGGAUACAGCUGACUGGGAAGAUGGCGGCUGGGAAGAUGGCAACUGAGAAGACAAUGAGGAGGCUUUCGGGGUUAAAGAAGGCAGUUGAGAGGAAAAGGUAGGGGCUGGGAGGGGUGGACAGCAGUCAGCUGGAUUAAACGAGGAAAAAGAGGGUCUUGCUGUGCCACUCAGGCUAGAGUACACUGGUGUGAUCUCAGCUCACUGCAGCCUUGACCUCUGGGUUCAAGUGAUCCUCCCAUCUUGGCCUCCCAAUGUGCUGGAAUUACAGGCAGGAACCACUGAUUUACAAUCUUCUAAUAAGAGUCUUUAUCUUAAAGAUAUUUGUUUCCUGUGUUUGAGAAUUAAAAUGCUGGCUUUUUGCUGAAUAAAAAC
RNAcentral lists this long non-coding RNA (719 nucleotides) under Homo sapiens (human). Its description in RNAcentral is "non-protein coding lnc-HNRNPA2B1-1:2". The record is from RNAcentral. Lineage: Eukaryota; Metazoa; Chordata; Mammalia; Primates; Hominidae.